AUACGGAGGAUGCAAGCGUUAUCCGGAUUUAUUGGGUUUAAAGGGUGCGUAGGCGGAUGAUUAAGCGUGAGGUGAAAUGCCACUGCUCAACAGUGGAACUGCCUCGCGAACUGGUUGUCUUGAAUGCUCCUGCCGUGGGAGGAAUGUGUGGUGUAGCGGUGAAAUGCAUAGAGAUCACACAGAACACCGAUUGCGAAGGCAUCUCACGAAGGGGUGAUUGACGCUGAGGCACGAAAGCGUGGGGAUCAAACAGGAUUGAUACCCUGGUAGUCCACGCAGUAAACGAUGAUAACUAACCGCUGGGUCGUAGUGAUUCAGUGGCCAAGCGAAAGCGAUAAGUUAUCCACCUGGGGAGUACGACCGCAAGGUUGAAACUCAAAGGAAUUGACGGGG
RNAcentral lists this ribosomal RNA (393 nucleotides) under uncultured bacterium. RNAcentral describes it as "partial 16S ribosomal RNA". It matches the Rfam family "Bacterial small subunit ribosomal RNA", at positions 523 to 918 of the family's 1533-position model. The record is from RNAcentral.